RNAcentral lists this ribosomal RNA (288 nucleotides) under Triticum aestivum (bread wheat). Its description in RNAcentral is "partial small subunit ribosomal RNA". The record is from RNAcentral. Lineage: Eukaryota; Viridiplantae; Streptophyta; Magnoliopsida; Poales; Poaceae.
AUGCCCCUGGACUUCGCCAAGCACUUCGUCGUGGUGCCGGUGGAGUUCAAGCUCAGGAACAACACUGACUGCUCCUGGAAGGUGACGAUGAAGCUGAUGGACGAUAGGGUGACCCUGGAUCAGGGUUGGGCCACCUACGCAGUCGUUCAUCAGAUCAAGAUCGGCUACAUGGUGACGUCCAAGCUCCUCACUCCCGACACCCUCAAGGUCAUCAUCUUCGACGAGGAUGGCAUUGAGGUCGUCAACAAGUGCGGGAAGCACAACGAAGCCUUCGCCACCAAGGAGUAG